This 204-nucleotide ribosomal RNA is filed under the name uncultured bacterium. RNAcentral's name for it is "partial 16S ribosomal RNA". It matches the Rfam family "Bacterial small subunit ribosomal RNA", at positions 524 to 725 of the family's 1533-position model. The record is from RNAcentral.
UACAGAGGGUGCAAGCGUUGUUCGGAAUUAUUGGGCGUAAAGCGCGUGUAGGCGGCUUUGCAAGUCGGGUGUGAAAGCCCUCAGCUCAACUGAGGAAGUGCGCCCGAAACUGCAGAGCUUGAGUGCCGGAGAGGGUGGCGGAAUUCCCCAAGUAGAGGUGAAAUUCGUAGAUAUGGGGGAGGAACACCGGUGGCGAAAGGCGGC